AUGAUUUUGACGGCAAUGAGCGAAUAGAGUAUACGGGAAAGACAGAGUCGCAAAAUGGAAGAAUUCCUGGCGGAAACACCCACUAACGCGUAGGAAAGUCUAUAGCAACUAGCAAGUGUUUAACAAGGCUCAAGCAAGGGUAGCACAUGCAAGAAUGUUAGAACUUUCGGUUUCCAUUAUUGGUGGAGUUAUGUUGCGGCGAGCAACCAGACUCAAGGAAUGCAUCAUUUUCCAGGUCAAGGUUCGUGAAAAGGAAUAAGGAUGAACGCUUUGAUACUUUGAUAUGACAAUGCUAAGUCACUGUCAUUAGAAGUGACAUGAAUUCUGUCUUGGAGAAAAAGUAAAUUAGGUUGCAAAUUUCACCAAUAAUGUUAGCUGAUGAGUCCAAUUUAAUACUAAUUAUGAUCUUAUCCACCAUGACAUUACCUAUAUGAACCGACUUUAAUAUGUCUGCCAGCUGUAAUGGCGUUCUAUUCUGCUUUGUUUUUUCUUAACUACGGUUACUCGUUUGUUGACUCACCAAGUUUCGUGGUAGUGUGAAAUUUCGAAUCUCGUACCAAUAAUUUACAAUUGAAACAGUUUGCCAGUUAAAUUGGAAAGAUUUUUGUUGAAAAGA
Molecule: long non-coding RNA, 616 nt
Organism: Cajanus cajan (pigeon pea)
Lineage: Eukaryota; Viridiplantae; Streptophyta; Magnoliopsida; Fabales; Fabaceae
Source: RefSeq, a predicted model, not a curated record